GGUCUCAUGGUGUAAUGGUUAGCACUCUGGACUCUGAAUCCAGCGAGCCGAGUUCAAAUCUCGGUGAGGUCU
Molecule: transfer RNA, 72 nt
Filed under: Rhipicephalus sanguineus (brown dog tick)
Lineage: Eukaryota; Metazoa; Arthropoda; Arachnida; Ixodida; Ixodidae
Description: transfer RNA glutamine (anticodon CUG)
Rfam family: tRNA
About the family: Transfer RNA (tRNA) molecules are approximately 80 nucleotides in length. Their secondary structure includes four short double-helical elements and three loops (D, anti-codon, and T loops). Further hydrogen bonds mediate the characteristic L-shaped molecular structure. tRNAs have two regions of fundamental functional importance: the anti-codon, which is responsible for specific mRNA codon recognition, and the 3' end, to which the tRNAs corresponding amino acid is attached (by aminoacyl-tRNA synthetases). tRNAs cope with the degeneracy of the genetic code in two manners: having more than one tRNA (with a specific anti-codon) for a particular amino acid; and 'wobble' base-pairing, i.e. permitting non-standard base-pairing at the 3rd anti-codon position.
Source: Rfam by way of RNAcentral